UUUUAAGCAAAAUCCCCGUUUUCCAACAUAACCAGACUGAGACAUGAUGUUCGAUAUCAUUUCCACAUCUGUACGUCCAGCGGUUUGGUUCAUAUAGGUAGCAUUUCGUGUUAGCUUAGCAGAAAGACUUGAAGUCUAUGGGAGUCGUUAGCCUAGCUCUGUCAAAGGAUUUUCUCCAAAAUGUUGGCCGUAUU
Myripristis murdjan (pinecone soldierfish) is the source of this 194-nucleotide long non-coding RNA. RefSeq lists it as uncharacterized. The transcript is spliced from 3 exons. Lineage: Eukaryota; Metazoa; Chordata; Actinopteri; Holocentriformes; Holocentridae. The record is from RefSeq and is a predicted model, not a curated record.